Molecule: ribosomal RNA, 253 nt
Filed under: uncultured bacterium
Lineage: Bacteria
Description: partial 16S ribosomal RNA
Rfam family: Bacterial small subunit ribosomal RNA
Source: RNAcentral
UACGGAGGGGACUAGCGUUGUUCGGAAUUACUGGGCGUAAAGCGCGCGUAGGCGGCUUUGUAAGUCAGGGGUGAAAUCCCGGGGCUCAACCUCGGAACUGCCUUUGAUACUGCAAAUCUCGAGUCCGGAAGAGGUGAGUGGAAUUCCUAGUGUAGAGGUGAAAUUCGUAGAUAUUAGGAAGAACACCAGUGGCGAAGGCGACUUACUGGACACAUAUUGACGCUGAGGUGCGAAAGCGUGGGGAGCAAACAGG